UUUGGAUUUAAAUAAAUGAAACUUGAGUAGUAUUAGUUAUGAUCUUGAAACUUAAAGAAUUUGGCGGUAUUUUAGUCUAUUUAGAGGAAUUUGUCCCAUUAUCGAUAAUCCUCGUUGGACCUUACUUAAUUUAAAUUAAUUUGUAUACCGCCGUUUAUUUGAAAAUCUUUUAAGAGUAAUUUUCUUAAUAUUUAAUUUUAUAAUAUUUCAGGUCAAGGUGCAGUUUAUGAUUAAGUGGAGAUGAAUUACAAUAUAUUUAUAUUACGGAUUAUAAAUUGUAAUAUUUAUAUGAAGGUGGAUUUAAUAGUAAUUUUAAUAAUAAAAAUUAAGAUGAUUUUGGCUCUAAGAUGUGC
This 353-nucleotide ribosomal RNA is filed under the name Rhabdoblatta formosana. RNAcentral's name for it is "partial 12S ribosomal RNA". The record is from RNAcentral. Lineage: Eukaryota; Metazoa; Arthropoda; Insecta; Blattodea; Blaberidae.